AACUUAGCAGAGAUGCUUUGGUGCCUUCGGGAACUCUGAGACAGGUGCUGCAUGGCUGUCGUCAGCUCGUGUUGUGAAAUGUUGGGUUAAGUCCCGCAACGAGCGCAACCCUUAUCCUUUGUUGCCAGCGGUCCGGCCGGGAACUCAAAGGAGACUGCCAGUGAUAAACUGGAGGAAGGUGGGGAUGACGUCAAGUCAUCAUGGCCCUUACGAGUAGGGCUACACACGUGCUACAAUGGCGCAUACAAAGAGAAGCGACCUCGCGAGAGCAAGCGGACCUCAUAAAGUGCGUCGUAGUCCGGAUUGGAGUCUGCAACUCGACUCCAUGAAGUCGGAAUCGCUAGUAAUCGUAGAUCAGAAUGCUACGGUGAAUACGUUCCCGGGCCUUGUACACACCGCCCGUCACACCAUGGGAGUGGGUUGCAAAAGAAGUAGGUAGCUUAACCUUCGGGAGGGCGCUUACCACUUUGUGAUUCAUGACUGGGGUGAAGUCGUAACAAGGUAAGCGUAGACGU
Molecule: ribosomal RNA, 515 nt
Filed under: uncultured bacterium
Lineage: Bacteria
Description: bacterial SSU rRNA
Rfam family: Bacterial small subunit ribosomal RNA
Source: RNAcentral